GUGUCAGCAGCCGCGGUAAUACGGAGGAUGCAAGCGUUAUCCGGAAUGAUUGGGCGUAAAGCGUCCGCAGGUGGCUGUGUAAGUCUGCUGUUAAAGAGUCAUGCUCAACAUGAUAAGAGCAGUGGAAACUACACGGCUAGAGUGCGUUCGGGGCAGAGGGAAUUCCUGGUGUAGCGGUGAAAUGCGUAGAGAUCAGGAAGAACACCGGUGGCGAAAGCGCUCUGCUAGGCCGCAACUGACACUGAGGGACGAAAGCUAGGGGAGCGAAUGGGAUUAGAUACCCCUGUAGUCC
Molecule: ribosomal RNA, 292 nt
Filed under: uncultured bacterium
Lineage: Bacteria
Description: partial 16S ribosomal RNA
Rfam family: Bacterial small subunit ribosomal RNA
Source: RNAcentral